Molecule: non-coding RNA, 27 nt
Filed under: Homo sapiens (human)
Lineage: Eukaryota; Metazoa; Chordata; Mammalia; Primates; Hominidae
Source: RNAcentral
UGAUGUUUAGAUGUUCAUACUUGACUC